Molecule: non-coding RNA, 390 nt
Organism: Taeniopygia guttata (zebra finch)
Lineage: Eukaryota; Metazoa; Chordata; Aves; Passeriformes; Estrildidae
Source: RefSeq, a predicted model, not a curated record
ACCACUUGGAAAAAAAUCUAAAAGACAACUGAAUUUGUGAAGAAAUCAAUUUAUGAAAUUAUCAAUUUCAGAGAUUAUCUCUCUCCAAGGAAUGAUUCAAGAAUAGCUCCAUGGGCAGUGUGACCCAUCCCAACAAGAAAGAGCAUAAAAGAAGACAUCUGAAAAGGAAGCUGUGCUACCAGCUCCUGAACUUGAGAAGAUUUUUCCACAAGCAAUGAAGCAAUGACAAGGUCUGUCCUUCCUUGUCUGUGGGGUCAAUUAACUACCCCACGAACAUGUACCGUAAGCUAAAUGAGAAAUGCAAAAAAAUACAUGCUGUUUAGUUAUUUCGUAACUAAGUGAGAGGUACAGAAAUGCAUUACUUAGUCUUUAAAUCCUUUACUAUUUAAU